This 253-nucleotide ribosomal RNA is filed under the name uncultured bacterium. RNAcentral describes it as "partial 16S ribosomal RNA". It matches the Rfam family "Bacterial small subunit ribosomal RNA", at positions 524 to 776 of the family's 1533-position model. The record is from RNAcentral.
GACAGAGGGUGCAAACGUUGCUCGGAAUCACUGGGCGUAAAGGGCGUGUAGGCGGGAAGGAAAGUCAGACGUGAAAUCCCUCGGCUUAACCGGGGAACUGCGUCUGAUACUGGAUGGCUUGAAUCCGGGAGAGGGAUGCGGAAUUCCAGGUGUAGCGGUGAAAUGCGUAGAUAUCUGGAGGAACACCGGUGGCGAAGGCGGCAUCCUGGACCGGCAUUGACGCUGAGGAGCGAAAGCCAGGGGAGCAAACGGG